This is a long non-coding RNA of Oncorhynchus keta (chum salmon), 589 nucleotides long. RefSeq lists it as uncharacterized. The transcript is spliced from 4 exons. NCBI's taxonomy places the organism in Eukaryota, Metazoa, Chordata, Actinopteri, Salmoniformes, Salmonidae. The record is from RefSeq and is a predicted model, not a curated record.
AAAAACAAGGACAUUUCUAUGUGACCCCAAACUGUCUCGUACACACUCAGGAUGAAGGUAUGGGUUAUGAAGACUGGGACGGUCUCAUACACACUCAGGAUGAAGGUAUGGGUUAUGAAGACAGGGACGGUCUCAUACACACUCAGGAUGAAGGUAUGGGUUAUGAAGACAGGGACCGUCUCGUACAUACUUAGGAUGAAGGUAUGGUUUAUGAAGACAGGGACGGUCUCGUACACACUCAGGAUGAAGGUAUGGGUUUAUGAAGACAGGGACCGUCUCGUACAUACUUAGGAUGAAGGUAUGGUUUGUGAAGACAGGGACCGUCUCGUACAUACUUAGGAUGAAGGUAUGGGUUAUGAAGACAGGGACGGUCUCGUACACACUCAGGAUGAAGGUAUGGGUUAUGAAGACAGGGACCGUCUCGUACAUACUCAGGAUGAAGGUAUGGGUUAUGAAGACAGGGACGGUCUCGUACACACUCAGGAUGAAGGUAUGGUUUGUGAAGACAGGGACCGUCUCGUACACACUCAGGAUGAAGGUAUGGGUUAUGAAGACAAGGACGUGUCCAUAUUGCAGAUGCUUAUAGGAC